This is a long non-coding RNA of Amphiprion ocellaris (clown anemonefish), 6017 nucleotides long. RefSeq lists it as uncharacterized. The transcript has 4 exons. NCBI's taxonomy places the organism in Eukaryota, Metazoa, Chordata, Actinopteri, Pomacentridae. The record is from RefSeq and is a predicted model, not a curated record.
GGACAGGACAUUUGUUCUCUCAUCCAAGCGUUAAAAUACACUGCCUGAAAAAAAAAAAAAAAUACACUGCCUGGCCAAAAAAAAAAAAAGUCGCACACUCUAAUAUUUUGUUGGACCACUUUUAGCUUAGAGAACAGCAUACAUUUGAUGUGGCAUCAUUUCGAUAAGCUUCUGCAAAAUCACAGCAUUUAUUUCUGUCCAGAGUUGCAUUAAUUUUCUACCAAGGUCUUUUAUUGAUGAUGGGAGAGUCGGACCGCUGCACAAAGUCUUCUGCAGCACAUCCCAAAGAUUCUCAGUGGGGCUGAGGUCUGGACUCUGUGGAGGCACUUUGGAACAGGGUAAAUCUGGACUCAUCAGACCACAUGACCAACCACAUUUGUUCCUCGGAGAUGAUGGUUCACCACUAUCCUUCAGGUUUUAAUAAUGUGUUGGAUGGUUCUUAACCUGAUUUUAGUAGUUUCAUAAAUCUCCUUAGUUGUUUUCUUUGCUUGAUGGAGGCCCAUAAUUUGACCCUUCUAGGACAGAGUAACAUCCUUACCAUGACCCUUAAUGUCUUCCAACAUGGUUGUUUAAGAAAUGAGAAGCUCCUCACUGCAUCAGCUAGAGUUAAAUAAGUUGUUGCAGCUGAAACAUAUUCAUCACUGCAGUAAUUAUCCAAUGGAAGCUCUUACCUAUUUGCUUAGUUAAAUCCAGGUGGCUACUUUGUUUUUGUGGCCCGGCAGUGUAUAUGAGUACAAAAGGAAUUCUUAUGUCCUUCAAUCUCACACAAAAUAAACCAGAAAGGUGUGUCAGUUUGGAAGAAAACCACAGAUCUGUUCAGUGUGUUGUCUGAGUGAUACAGAAAAUGAGUCAGAUUUUCUGUCUAUUCUAUGUUUAGUAAUGCAGUAAAACAGAAACUGACUGCGUAUAUAUAUGGAUACUGGUGAAUAUGAAUGUGGUUACUUGUAAAAAGCCAGGAAGAAAGACGACUGGGUCAAAUAUUCAGUCAGUUACUUCAUGUCCUGCAUUCUGGUGGACUUUAUGCACCAGUUUGUGCUUUUUUAAUAUCAAUUUAUUGUGGAAAUAUGUUUAUUUAUGUAAAGAAAAACAUAAAAUUGCAGCAGCUAAUGACCGCUCAAAAUAUGAUGCAAAAAAACUACAUAUGAAUCAACUUUUUUCCAUCUAAUGUUAUUCCUUUUGAGUGAACAUGCACGUAGCGGUCCUCUGCUUAUGAUGUGUUACACAUGUCCUAAAAAUCCUAACCUAUGUUUUUAGCAUAACCGUAACCAUUUGAAAAUACAUAAAAGUAUACGGAACAUUGGAGCUGAUUAUUUCAGAUAGGUUUUGUAUAUGCAGUACCACUAGAGAGCGCUACAAAGCCUCAACUGAAGAAGAUGAACAGAGAUGUGCGUGAAUAAAACCAUGAAUUUGAGCAUUUUAACUUCUCUUCUUGGGAUAUUUUCAAGAAAACUACACAUCAGGAAAAAAAACUACUGCUGAAAUGGGAUAUAUGUAUUGUGAACGAAUAGUGAGCAGCAGAGGCACCAUUUCCAAGAAUCUUUCCACUGAUAACACAAGGGGUCUCGGUGUGACAUAACAUGAUGUGACAGAGCCAUGUUCCAUUUUCUCAAAAUGCUCAUGUAUGGUUCAGUGAGAUGUAAAGUCUCACAUCAGUCAAGCUCGCAUCACACUGGUUUCCAUCUUGACAUGUUACGUGGAGCAUCAAAGAGACGUGCACGACUGUGACGCUGAAGUGAGCCUUGACACAAACCACCGCUGACGGGGAUGAUUGCAUCCAUCCAGGUUAUUUCACAAGGCAUUAACUCAGACUGGGAGGUAGCAAAGGUUUCUGAUUAAUACCCACAGAGUGAGACACAGGGGUUGUGGCUGAAUGACUUUUCUUACCUUCCAUGCCUCCUCCAACUCCGCUGUCCACUGCUCCUUCAGGAUGGGCUGCACUGCACAGAUGAAUUCUGCUCCGACGUACUGGAGAAUAAUAUGAGACACUGAUGAGCUCAGGGCUUGGUGACCAAAACUAGUAUCUUUAUGUUUGUAUGCAAAAGUAGAUGUGUUAAGGAUGAACGUCACCUCAUUCUGCUGCUGUGAUUUUAAAGGUGUCAGUUCACCGCCCAGCCAAAAAAAGUCACGCUCUAAUAUUUUGUUGGACUGCCCUUAGCUUUGAGUACGGCACUCAUUUGCUGUGGCAUAGUUUCGAUUAGCUUCUGCAAUGUCACAGCAUUUAUUUCUGUCCAGAGAUGCAUUCAUUUUUCACAAAGAUCUUUUAUUGAUGAUGGGAAAGUCGGACCACUGUUCAAAGUCUUCUCCAGCAAAACCCAAAGAUUCUCAGUGGGGCUGAGGUCUGCACUCUGUGGAGGCCAAUCCAUGUGUGAAAAUGAUGUCUCAUGCUUCCUGAUCCUCUCAUUCACAAUGUGAUCCCUAUGAAUCCUGCUAUUGUCAUCUUGGAACAUGCCCAUGAAAUCAGGGAAGAAAAACUCCAUCGAUGGAAAGACCUUGUCAUUCAGUAUAUUCAGGUAGUCAGCUGACCUCAUUCUUUGGGAACAUAACGUUGCUGAACCUGACCAACCCCAGAUCAUAAUCCUAACCCCUACAGGCUUGUAGCCACCAGUCAUGAUGAGUGAAUCACUUCAUCUUCCUCUCUUCUUACCCUGAUGCGUCCAUCACUUUGGAACAGGCUAAAUCUGGACUCAUCAGACCACAUGACCUUCUUUCAGUGCUCCAGAGUCCAACCUUUAUGCUCCAUAGCAAACCGAAGCCUUUUUUUCUGAUUAGUCUCGCUGAUCAGUGGUUUUCUUAGAGCUACACAGCUUUUUAGUCCCACGUCCAUUUGGAAAUGCUCUUACUUGUACUAUUAAACAUAGUCGUGAGUUCUACUGUUGAUUUCCUACGAUCAUCUAAGAGUUUGUUCUGACCACAUUUGUUUCUUGAAGAUGAUGGUUCUCCACUAUCCUUCAGGUUUUAAUAAUGUGUUGGACGGUUCUUAACCUCAUUUUAGUAGUUUCAGAAAUCUCCUUGGUUGUUUUCUUUGCUUGAUGGAGGCCAAUAAUUUGACUCUUCUGAGACAGAUUAACAUCCUUUCCAUGACCACAGGAUAUGUCUUCCAACAUGGUUGUUUAAGAAAUGAGAAGCUCCUCAUUGCAACAGCUAGGAUUAAAUAAGUUGUUGCAGCUGAAACAUAUUCAUCACUGUAGUAAUUAUCCAAUGGAAGCUCUUACCUAUUUGCUUAGUUAAAUCCAGGUGGCAACUUUUUGUUGGGUGUGCAAUGUCUAAUAAAGAGCUCUAUAUACAGACAACAAACGGCGUCUUUCUACUGUUGGGAUCAUGUGGGUCUUACACUGUAGUACUUGGGUGGAGCAUUGUAAUGAUAAUGGCUUUUUCCCAACUCCAGAGCCAGAGCCUCCAGUCGCUCCAGCUGGUCCAGUCUCGCCACGCUUUUCUCAAUAAAAGACAUUACCCUGAAAGAGAUGGAGAAAAGUACUCAGCGUGAGACACCCAGACUGACUGAUUGAUCCAACAGUUAACUGUGAAUUAGCAGGAGAAAACGACCAACUGAUGCAUCUAUACUAGACUGGAACAUGUCACUGGGAUUAAAGGAACCACACUUCAUCUGUUUUCUUCCACUAAUCUGGAGUCAGGUCGCAGUGGCAACAGACUAAGCAGGUCAUUCCAGACGUCCCUUUCCCCAGCAACGUUUCCCUGAUCACCCCAUGGGGAUCCCAAGAUGUUCCCAGGCCAGAUGAGUCAUGUAAUCCUUCCAUUGAAUUCAGUGUACUCCGGGGACUCUUCCUAUUCUUCCACACACAAAAAAGUGGAAGCUGACUUAGUGAGGAUGACUCCUGCUCCUGUCAUCUCUAAGCUCCUCACACAUCUUUACCUGUACAUGAGGAAAAUCACUCCUGUAGAAUGCAGAUGUUCAGAGGGAGAUGAUGCCACAUCUGGUCCAGCCGAUGGAAGGUCUUGAAGUUCUCUGACUGGCCUCGACUGAAGAUGGUCGUCUCACUGGAUUUAAGGUUCAGAUGCUCAGUAACAAACUCCACCAAUGUGCCAACAGGGAAGCUUUAGGUUUAUUAAAUGUUGCUAUGAAGGUAUCGCUGUUUUUCUUUGUGAAUGCAAUGUGCUCCAACUGAAACUUGAAUUAGAACUUAGAAGUAAAUCCUUCCAUCUGAAAGGAUUUAGUUGCAUUAAUAACCUCAUAACAUUCUAAUUUUUAUUCCAGUCUUGGUUGGAAAUAGAAUCUCUGUAUCGAUUCAAGUAAAAACUGAACUUCACAGCAUGUUGGAGCAAAACAACCAGAUGAAAACUGUGAUGGUGUUGGAUUGUCAGACCGUAAUGUUGCAGCUCAAAGCAGCUUUUCUAGCUCAGUUCAUUCUGACAUUCAGCUAUGAAUCAACACAGCAGAUGGUGAUCCAUGCUGUGGAAGUCUCACAUCUCCUGAUUUAAUGGAGCUGCUUUGCACUUUUUACACUGUUUAUUCACCAACACUUUAUUUAAUAAAAGUCCCAUCUAGUUUUUAUGAGGAAUGUGAUGUUUUAAUUUCUCUGUGAAUAACUGCAGUCUAAUGCAACAGCUGGAGUUGUAACAUCUGUCCUGAUGUUGAUCAUGAAGUAUUGAUCAGAAUACUUAUGGUCAGCAGUCAUCCCUGAAGUUUUAUAUUAAAAUCUUUACUUGUGUUGUGAACUUUGGUAAGAAGCAGAAACUUUUGCGUUGCCAUGGAUACAUGAGUGUUAAAUUCUGUCUAUGUUUCCAUUUUGGGAAAUGCAGUCCAGUUCCAGAAUGUGGAGGAAUUUAGUCUCACAAUCACAGACAACAAAUAUUAUCUGAAAGUCGGGUUAUUGUUGUUUAUCAGCACAAUACAAAAAGAUUAAUGUUAGAAAUAUUCCAGUUAAGACUCUAGAAUAUCAUGAUUUAUGUAAAUUUACCUCAAUAAUAUGAAUGUUCAGGUUAAGAUUGUGCAGUGAUAUUUAUUAUGCAAGUUUAGCUGAUUAAAGUUUAUGAAUCUGCACUAAAAUAUUAUUUAAAUUUACAUCAUUAUUAUAAUAUUUAGGGUCAGACCCUACAGUGUUGAGAUUAAGAAAUCAAAUAUUCUAUAAAAUGUAAAUACACUGAACUCAUUUGGAUAUAUUUAAGUGAGACUCUACAAUAUUAUUUGACACAAAUCUAUCUAAAUCAAAAUUUUAAUAAUUUUCAUGCCAAACAUUUACUGGACUGAUUUAAAUAUUAAAAUCACUUCUUUCUAAUCCUCUGCUGUACGUUCAAACCUGAGGCCUUAAAUAGAAACACACAAGUAUCUGAUUGAAGGAACUUCUGCAGAGUCCUGGUUCCAGAACAUGAUGAUAGAAUUAUAGACAAACUUUAACAAAAGCUGCCUGAGAGUUUACAGGUUUUUAUGUUAGAUUUCUUCAGUAAUUUAAUGAGCGUUUUCAGCAAUAAUCAAGUGUUCAUUUGAUGAACUUCAUUUCCUAAAACAUCCAGAAUUGGAGCUCAUAUCUUUGGCAGCUGUAAAGUUUCUGCUCCUUCAAAGUUCACAACACAAUGAAUGAAUUCCUAAAACACUCUCAAUGCUGGAGAGCGUUUGAUGCUGAAGCAGUGACCAGUUUUUCUGUUUCUUCUCAGGAGAUGCACAAUGAGGGACGUCUGCAGUGACUGAGAAAGAGUCUCACCACAUCCUUACAUGAGGAAAAAGACUUUAUUGAAGACUACAAUGAGGAAAAACUAUCAGACAGCAGAUGGCUGCAUUCAAGGUGAGCUCUGAACAUUUGAUCUGGAACAGGAAUUCAAUAACGGCAGCAUGAGCUUCAUUUCAGUCUGUAGCUGCUGAAUUCAUGGAUGAAUCAUCUGGCACUAGAGAGGAAGACCAUCAAACAUCCACGUCAGCUGAUGGAGGUCCAAGAGUCUCACCAAACAAACAACCUACAGAGUGAAGACCUCGAAUCUGAUUGGACGGCCUCCUAUUCAGCCACGUGUGAACAAAUGCCUCUAAGCUGAUUUGUUUUCUAAAAUAAAUCUAGUUUGAGUCCUAA